RNAcentral lists this long non-coding RNA (794 nucleotides) under Fukomys damarensis (Damara mole-rat). Its description in RNAcentral is "lncRNA (ENSFDAG00000028610.1)". Lineage: Eukaryota; Metazoa; Chordata; Mammalia; Rodentia; Bathyergidae. The record is from RNAcentral.
UAAAAGGCAAAGAAAGAAGAUACUAGGGAAGGAACCAGGUAGCAUGGUUAACAUAAGAAGUACACACUUUCCAUUUACUUAAAUCUUUUUUUCUUGAGUUUAUUGGUACUUUUAAAGUAUACAUUACAGUUACAUUUAUCAUUGAGAUCUUGUACUCAUUUACUUAAUUCUUAGAACCUAAACUACCUUUCCAGAAGACACCCACCCACAUUGUCAAUGCACCACCAAAGGACAGGGAAAAGUCAUGCCCAGAGAAAUCCAAGGUUGGGAUGAAAGACAGCCAGGGAGCCAGUCAGAUUCCAGGAGCCUGCAUGGGGAGAAGGAACCUAAUAAAAGGAGUUACAGACAAGAAAUCCGUAAUAGAAGAUCUACCAUACACUUCCGGGGUGACUAUGGAAUCAGGUUUCUAUGAAACACAACACAAAGGAUUUGCUUCCAAGUAACCAUAAUGAGUUGCCAUCCCUGAGCAUUCCAAAAGCAGUGCCCAACAUCUGGCAGAACUCGGAAAGUUGCCAGGGACAAUUGUAUGAGCCGAGUAAUCUAGAAUCAAUGGUCACCUUGCCAACUAUAUAAAAUGGACUCAGAUGCCCUAGAUUCAUUUACUCCUGUGGAUUCUCUGGAGCUGUUAACCAAAACCUCAAUUUCAUAAAAUAGAACUCCUCUCUAAGUAAGCGUAAUGGUAUAUUUCAGUCACAUGAUCACUUAACCACAUUGACAAUGAUAAGCUUUUUAAAGAUGUGUAAUUGCUUUCAGGUUUUUGUUUUAUCUUUGAAAAUAAAAAAGGUUAAACCACU